CCCCGCCUGGGGAGUACGGGUGAGGUAACGGCUCACCAAGGCAUCGACGGGUAGCUGGUCUGAGAGGAUGAUCAGCCACACUGGGACUGAGACACGGCCCAGACUCCUACGGGAGGCAGCAGUAGGGAAUCUUGCGCAAUGGGGGAAACCCUGACGCAGCAACGCCGCGUGUGGGAUGACGGCUUUCGGGUUGUAAGCCACUUUCAGUGAUGACGAAAAUGACGGUAAUCACAGAAGAAGGUCCGGCCAACUACGUGCCAGCAGCCGCGGUAACACGUAGGGACCGAGCGUUGUCCGGAUUUAUUGGGCGUAAAGAGCUCGUAGGCGGUUCUGUAAGUCGGAUGUGAAAACUCAGGGCUCAACCCUGAGACGCCAUCUGAUACUGCAGUGACUAGAGUCCGGUAGAGGAAGAUGGAAUUCCUGGUGUAGCGGUGGAAUGCGCAGAUAUUAGGAGGAACACCAGUGGCGAAGGCGCCGCUCUGGGCCGUGACUGACGCUGAGGAGCGAAAGCGUGGGUAGCAAACAGGAUUAGAUACCCUGGUAGUCCACGCCGUAAACGUUGGGCACUAGGUGUGGGUCUCAACCAACGAGAUCCGCGCCGUCGCUAACGCAUUAAGUGCCCCGCCUGGGGAGUACGG
This 638-nucleotide ribosomal RNA is filed under the name uncultured Actinomycetes bacterium. RNAcentral's name for it is "bacterial SSU rRNA". It matches the Rfam family "Bacterial small subunit ribosomal RNA", at positions 231 to 885 of the family's 1533-position model. Lineage: Bacteria; Bacillati; Actinomycetota; Actinomycetes. The record is from RNAcentral.